AUUAACCACAAUAAAUCUUUUUGAGUUUGAGUUCUCGUCCGAUCACUGAAGCCAAGCACGGUCGGGCGCGGUUAGUACUUGGAUGGGUCCCCGCUCAGGAACACCGCGCGCCGUUGGCG
This 119-nucleotide ribosomal RNA is filed under the name Oryctes borbonicus. The record is from RNAcentral. Lineage: Eukaryota; Metazoa; Arthropoda; Insecta; Coleoptera; Scarabaeidae.